AACGAACGCUGGCGGCAGGCCUAACACAUGCAAGUCGAGCGAGGACUUCGGUUCUAGCGUCGGACGGGUGAGUAACGCGUGGGAAUGUGCCCUUCUCUACGGAAUAGCCCUGGGAAACUGGGAGUAAUACCGUAUACGCCCUAUUGGGGAAAGAUUUAUCGGAGAAGGAUCAGCCCGCGUUGGAUUAGGUAGUUGGUGGGGUAAUGGCCUACCAAGCCGACGAUCCAUAGCUGGUUUGAGAGGAUGAUCAGCCACACUGGGACUGAGACACGGCCCAGACUCCUACGGGAGGCAGCAGUGGGGAAUCUUAGACAAUGGGGGCAACCCUGAUCUAGCCAUGCCGGGUGAGUGAUGAAGGCCUUAGGGUUGUAAAGCUCUUUCAGCUGGGAAGAUAAUGACGGUACCAGCAGAAGAAGCCCCGGCUAACUCCGUG
This 433-nucleotide ribosomal RNA is filed under the name uncultured bacterium. RNAcentral's name for it is "partial 16S ribosomal RNA". It matches the Rfam family "Bacterial small subunit ribosomal RNA", at positions 29 to 507 of the family's 1533-position model. The record is from RNAcentral.